GCAUCAGUUACAGAAAGUGUCUGUCGGGACACGUGGUGUCCCUUCAUGAAAGCAGAGCGUGACGGCUGCAAAGUGAUUCCGGGGCAGCCGAUAAUUUCGCUGCAGACGACAAAAAACUUUCCUCUGAAGCUAUUGUGACAAGAUGGGACAAAAGGAAGGGCAUGACCUGCAGCUGUGCACACAGGACAACACUGCAGGACUCUGGUUGCUCAACCGCCUCAAAAAAGAUGUGAAGAAUUCUGACUGGCUGACAAAAUGCCCUUGAUACAAAUAGCAGACUGUAAAUCAGUCAACAUUUUGUCUAUGCUUGUUAGUGCUUGCUGCUGGUUAAUGCUUUCUGUUAGUGUGGAGGGUCAUUUUAUGGAUAAGAGUUGAAACGGAGUGGAAACAACGGUUCUGAUAGGAAGUUAUAGAGAAUUCCUUAAUAUUUCUAUUAGAAUGAUACUUCACUGAAAGCUGCUAAUAGAGCUGUGAGGGAGAAGAAAAGGUUUACUAACAUAGACAAAUCAAACACUAUAUACAGUCAGUAGUCUGAAGAAUAAAUGUGACAAAUGCCAUUUCCAACUCUAAUAUUUGAGCAACUAUUUUCAUUUUCUGUGUAAAACGCACCAAAAAAAAACCACAUUGUUUUCAUGACAGUAUAUAAAAAUGAAUGCUUGAUUGCAAAAAUGCUUAUUAUUUCUAAGACUGAUUAGUUGUAAAUUACCCUAAAUGAAAUAGCUGGAAAGGCGUGUCACACUGUAUGGAGAAAAACAUGAUCUCAUUUUCUGUUCAUAAACUGAGUCUUUCACUUUUUGCACAGAAUUUCGGAGGCAGGAAAUUAAAAAAGCAGCUGUUUUAUUAAGAUAAGCCCCAGUUGUCUUGCAUGCGUGUAUCGACUCCUGCAUGUUAAUGGAAUCAUGGCUUCUCACCAACAUUCUGUUUAUUUGUUUUUUAACCCCGUCAGGUCAAUAAAUUGUUCUGAUCAUUCAGUGUCUAAAUGAGUUAUUCAUUCACUAAUGGGGUUGCCCAACAUGUUGGCUUGAUAUGUUGUGUCUCUCCCUGAGACGUGUUGUGUUUAGCAGCGGAGCUCAUCAUUUGUCUCGCCGUCUCCACACACUGUGUUCAUUAUGAUGAGAAUAGGAUAAAAUCAGCAGGUAGACAUUAGCAUUUGCUGCAGUUGUUGGCAAUCCUGUUAAAAACCAACGUGGCAGAACAGACAAAACUCCUUCAAGCAUUGUAUGAGCUGUACUGUAUUUUAUGACACAGAUAUGUCAGCAGUUGAAUGCUUGUAUGUAUAGUACACAGUUUAUUUAAAAAAAUGUAACCUCAUUCAUGUCUGAAAUCUAAACAUAUAUCGCAACCUUUAUUGGUAACACAACCCCUCCUGAAGAAAUAUAAAAUAUCCCUUUAAAGCUAAAUUACUUUGCAUUCUCUUAUGAUGCUGUUAUGAGGAAAACUAAUUCAGUGUGCUUCCUUUUAUUUAAGAUGUAACCAGCGGUUAUGAUUCAACACAAUUAUUUUCUCAUUAAAGGGGUUUACUUUUUGGUUUAUAAAUGACUGGAAACUGUCAUCAAAUGUCAUAAAUACUCACAUUAUUAUAUUACAACAUUAUCAAAUAAGGUAAAGAAAUACUGAAAGUCUGAAGAUUAAAAUUGGAAAGACAUUAAACGGUAUGAUCAUCAAAUGAAUUGCCGUAAUCUUUUGAGCUCUUACAUUUUACAUAAAUGUAUAAUUUAACUAGAAAAUGCAUUUCCUGCUGAAAAUGCGUUGGAAUGCAAAAAGCUGAAAGCUGAAAUGAAUAUUUAAAAAUAGCUGAAAAUACAGAAAGUUGAAGGGAAUUUGAAUACAUCUACUGAAAUUACAGAUAUUAGAAAAGAUGAAAUUAAUUUGAAAUUGCUGAAAAUACAGAAAUGGGAGAAGAUGAAAGGAAUUUCAAUAGAUUUACUGAAAAAGUAGAAAUGAAAACAGCUGAAAUGAAUGUGAGAUAUUGCAAAAUAAAUACCGAAAUGAAUAUUAAAACCUUGCUGUUAAUACAGUCAUUAGAAAAGCUGAAAUUAUUUUAAAGAAAUGCUGAAAAUACAGGAAGUGUGGAAGAUGAAUUUCAAUAGAUUUUCUAUAAAAUACAGAAGUUGCAGGAGCUUAAAUGAAU
Long non-coding RNA from Gasterosteus aculeatus aculeatus (three-spined stickleback), 2131 nucleotides. NCBI's taxonomy places the organism in Eukaryota, Metazoa, Chordata, Actinopteri, Perciformes, Gasterosteidae. The record is from Ensembl.